This 274-nucleotide ribosomal RNA is filed under the name uncultured bacterium. RNAcentral describes it as "partial 16S ribosomal RNA". It matches the Rfam family "Bacterial small subunit ribosomal RNA", at positions 523 to 796 of the family's 1533-position model. The record is from RNAcentral.
AUACGGAGGGGACUAGCGUUGUUCGGAAUCACUGGGCGUAAAGCGCGCGCAGGCGGCUAUUUAAGUUGGAUGUGAAAGCCUAUGGCUCAACCAUAGAACUGCAUCCAAAACUAUUUAGCUAGAGUGUGGGAGAGGAAGAUGGAAUUAGUUGUGUAGGGGUAAAAUCCGUAGAGAUAACUAGGAAUACCAAAAGCGAAGGCAAUCUUCUGGAACACUACUGACGCUUAGGCGCGAAAGCGUGGGGAGCAAACAGGAUUAGAAACCCCAGUAGUCC